This 372-nucleotide ribosomal RNA is filed under the name uncultured organism. Its description in RNAcentral is "partial 16S ribosomal RNA". It matches the Rfam family "Bacterial small subunit ribosomal RNA", at positions 527 to 896 of the family's 1533-position model. The record is from RNAcentral.
GUAGGUGGCAAGCGUUGUCCGGAAUUAUUGGGCGUAAAGCGCGCGCAGGGCGGUUCUUUAAGUCUGAUGUGAAAGCCCACGGCUCAACCGUGGAGGGUCAUUGGAAACUGGAGAACUUGAGUACAGAAGAGGAAAGCGGAAUUCCACGUGUAGCGGUGAAAUGCGUAGAGAUGUGGAGGAACACCAGUGGCGAAGGCGGCUUUCUGGUCUGUAACUGACGCUGAGGCGCGAAAGCGUGGGGAGCAAACAGGAUUAGAUACCCUGGUAGUCCACGCCGUAAACGAUGAGUGCUAAGUGUUAGGGGGUUUCCGCCCCUUAGUGCUGCAGCUAACGCAUUAAGCACUCCGCCCGGGGAGUACGGCCGCAAGGCUG